AUUGAACGCUGGCGGCAGGCCUAACACAUGCAAGUCGAACGGUAACAGGAAGCAGCUUGCUGCUUUGCUGACGAGUGGCGGACGGGUGAGUAAUGUCUGGGAAACUGCCCGAUGGAGGGGGAUAACUACUGGAAACGGUAGCUAAUACCGCAUAACGUCGCAAGACCAAAGAGGGGGACCUUAGGGCCUCUUGCCUUCGGCUGUGCCCAGAUGGGAUUAGCUAGUAGGUGGGGUAACGGCUCACCUAGGCGACGAUCCCUAGCUGGUCUGAGAGGAUGACCAGCCACACUGGAACUGAGACACGGUCCAGACUCCUACGGGAGGCAGCAGUGGGGAAUAUUGCACAAUGGGCGCAAGCCUGAUGCAGCCAUGCCGCGUGUAUGAAGAAGGCCUUCGGAUUGUAAAGUACUUUCAGCGGGGAGGAAGGGAGUAAAGUUAAUACCUUUGCUCAUUGACGUUACCCGCAGAAGAAGCACCGGCUAACUCCGUG
This 490-nucleotide ribosomal RNA is filed under the name uncultured bacterium. RNAcentral describes it as "partial 16S ribosomal RNA". It matches the Rfam family "Bacterial small subunit ribosomal RNA", at positions 30 to 507 of the family's 1533-position model. The record is from RNAcentral.